GACGAACGCUGGCGGCGUGCCUAAUACAUGCAAGUAGAACGCUGAAGCUUGGUGCUUGCACCGAGCGGAUGAGUUGCGCACGGGUGAGUAACGCGUAGGUAACCUGCCUGGUAGCGGGGGAUAACUAUUGGAAACGAUAGCUAAUACCGCAUAAGAGUAGAUGUUGCAUGACAUUUGCUUAAAAGGUGCAAUUGCAUCACUACCAGAUGGACCUGCGUUGUAUUAGCUAGUUGGUGAGGUAACGGCUCACCAAGGCAACGAUACAUAGCCGACCUGAGAGGGUGAGCGGCCACACUGGGACGGAGACACGGCCCAGACGCCUACGGGAGGCAGCAGUAGGGAAUCGUCGGCAAGGGACGGAAGUCUGACCGAGCAACGCCGCGUGAGUGAAGAAGGUUGUCGGAUCGGAAAGCUCUGUUGUAAGGGAAGAACGAGUGUGAGAGUGGAAAGUUCACACUGUGACGGUAUCUGACCAGAAAGGGACGGCUAACUACGUG
RNAcentral lists this ribosomal RNA (497 nucleotides) under uncultured bacterium. RNAcentral's name for it is "partial 16S ribosomal RNA". It matches the Rfam family "Bacterial small subunit ribosomal RNA", at positions 28 to 507 of the family's 1533-position model. The record is from RNAcentral.